UUUUUUUUUUUUGUGCGGCUUUCCCGUGCGGCGAUGAGACGGGGGCGGACGGCGGCGGAAUACAUUCGAGAAAGGGGGCGCGUGGGAAAGCGACGGCCGGGAGCCGGGCCGCGGUCCGGCGACGCACGUGGGGGCCCGUGAGGCGUGACCGGCCGGGCCAGAGAAAAGAAAAGGAAAGGUCACGGCGGUGGGUUUCGGCCCACGAGACAUUCAAUUGAUAGGCACCCACAGCCCAAGGUGGUGAGGUUUCGGCUUGUUUCGGCCUGGUCCGGCGCAUUUUUUGGGGGACGUGCGUGUGCGGUGGACCUGGUGGUGGUGGCGCCGCCGGCCUGGCAAAGUGACGUUGUGUGCUGCUGGGCGGCGGUGGGGUCCAGCCGCCGUCUGCGCGGCUCGCUGCCGGUCGAGGAGCCUAUAAAAGGGGAGGGUCUCCGGCAGCUGGUGAGCGCCCUCGCUUGCGCAGAAACCCUAGUCGCCACAUCACGGCCGCCUCGCUCGAUCGGCAUACCGGUCGCCUGGCUCCCAUUUCUCACCUCCAUCUCUCUUCAGUCUUCAGAUCUGUGCACGGCCACAUCAAGCAUGUGCCUCUCCUUUCUCUGAUGUUGGGAGCGUAGCAUAGUAAGCCGGUUGCCGCGAGGUACUGUGAUUUGUGUUUGCGUCUCGGUCCUUUUGAUUGAUGCGGUUUUGGUUGUUUUUUUCUUCCGUUUGUGUGCGUCUUUUUGCCGGAUCACACGGAUCGAUGAUGCUGUUCAAGAAAUACUGCGUUAUCUUCCUGAUACAAAUGUGAGGCCGUCGUUGCGAUGGCCUCCUGAUGACUCAACUGUCUUGCUGAGAUCCAAGUGACAACAAAUCGGCAGCUCUUCUUUCUGUCGCCUCCCCGCCUCAAUCAUCUGCCUAUGCCUAUCAAUUGAAUGUCUCGUAGUCGUAGGACAGGUGUUUUUAUUUUCGUCGCUCCAUCCAUCUUGCCGCCCUGCUAUAAGAGCAUAUGUAACUGCCUUGCUUGCUUCAUAUGGUUGAAUUAAUACGAUCUGACUAGCCAGAUUUAGAAUGGUUGCUUCAUCAAACCAUCAAAUAAUUGAGCCCAAUCCAUCGAUGUUGCAAACCUAUGUGACCUCAACCAGACCAGUUGCAGUUUCAGUGCAGAGUUCAGACAAGCAUUCCUGAAAGGUCACCAACUCUUUGCUGCAUAUUAGCUUUUUUUAUAGCAAUUACUCAAACCGCUUUUCAGACCAUAACCGAAAUUAGCAGCACAUGACGUCUGAGACAGACAGAAAGUAUGGCAUCAGGGAAAAAAAAAGGUCCCAAGCUAAACAGCAAGUGUAAAGCCAGCUAAUGCAGUUCACAAAUACUUGCAGCGACUUAAACUGCACCAAUUAACACAGUGAAGAUGAACACAGCAAAGUCAAGUACGUGCAUGUUAACCGAACACAGCCGAAUACGGUGCUACCAGUUUACUGUGAUGGUAUCUGGCGGAAGAAAGGUUAACUGAGUUAUGACACGAUUACAUUACAGGCAAUGCGGAAGCAAACUACGGUGUCAGCGUUUAACACCACUUUUCACAGUAUUGUCAAGCAAGCUUAUGUACAGCUGCUCUAACGAAUUUACAGUGACUCCGGCAAGCUCUAUCUCACGACUGAUGAUGGCGGAGCUUCCCCUAGUGUCUCCUAACCGUCAGCGGCAUAGAAAGGAAUCGACUUCAGUGGCAUCACCUUCUCCUGCAAUAUAAGGAAGUGCUGUCAGUGAAUUCUAACCUAUGCCUGGUAAGAAAAUGAACAGGAAUAGCGUGCCUUUGUUGCUACCUCAGAGUUCUCCAGAUGCUCUGAGGGGAAAUGAAGCCCAGUGGAACAGUUCUCAAGCACCUCCGGACUCUUCAGCCAUGCUUUGUGAGCUUCAAUGGCUUUCAGCUUAAAGCGAAACAUCUGCAAGUGCCAACAUCCACCCAUUUUCAGGCACACCACAUAUAAUGUACAGAAAAGUGAAAUGAAUUAUCCUUAAAGAGAAGAGAAAUAAGUAGCUGACAAGGAGUAAUAAUGUGCUACAAACCUCAGAUAAAGAAAUACUUGGCUUCUCCAGUUCAUCCCCCUUGACAUGAAUUCCAGUACCUUGACACUCUGGGCAAAAUAUGGAUGUUAUUUUGCUCUUCUUAGGUGCAUUCUUUGCCUUUCUUCCUCGAUUGCUCUUCCCCUUGCUAGCUAUUUGGUCACUCAGCAUCUCAUAUUGACACAAAAUACUCCAGUGUAAGAGGCAGGAAGUGUGAAACAGAUGAUAAGCCUGCAAAAUCAAGUGUAGCAAACUCAUUACAGCAGCAAAUUAAAAAUUUAAAAAAAGGAGACUUUCUAAUUAGUAUAUUUAAUAAGAUGGAAGAAAAGGAAUUCUGCCACUGCAUUUUUGUCUCAGGGAAGAUAGCUUUGUAUUGCUAAUUGUGAAACAAGGAUGCAGAAGGUCUAACUUUUGAAUUAUGUUCUCAUUUACUUCCUCUGUACAAAAAUAGUAAACCUGUCCAUGCUGCUAUGUUCAAGAAACAUUAUGGAAUAGAAGAGCAAAGAAUGCUUGAAAUUACUCACCCCACUCGAAUUUCUACUGCUGCAAGCUAGGUUUCCUGUAUUGCAGUUCAGCAAGGUAGCAACAUCCUUUCCAGGAAGCAUUGGUCUCCCACAGAUAUCACACACUUUCUCAGCUGCUAUGCGCUUCUGCUUCCUCAACUCUUUCCUCACUGAUUUGCUGGAUAAGAGGCCAACUUGAAGAUUGUGUGAGGUACCUGUUGGGGAACCAGUCACAAUAGCUUGGCUACUGCCCUGGGGAGAACUGCUUUGACCAUUCGACUCUUCUGAAGAUGCCUCCUGGUCCGAAAAGGACUUUCUCAUUCUCUUUCCACGAUGCCCAGCAUCAUCAAUAACAAAGAAAGAUCCAGCAGAGAUAGAAAGGUCCUGUUCAUCAGAAGACCACUUCCUGCCCAAAUCAUGAGUAUAAGAGAAGUUGACUAUGGCAAAGCCAGAUUGCUCAUAAGUGUUACAACUCUGAGAGCCAUGGGAGCCUUCUUGUCCUACCCAAGCACACCAGAUCUUGCUUAUCUUCUUGCAAUUCUUGUUACCUUCACAGAUCCUGUAUGAAAUAUUUCCAUACCCCAAAUGAUGCACAGGCAAGUCUGAAACAACAUCUUUUAUCAAUACACCAGGGAUAACAAGAGGACCAUCAGUUCCACCGUUUGACAGCACAUGAUCUUCAGAUACAGCAGCAACUCUACCACUAGCAUGGCCUUUUGCACAAUUGCGUGCACCUUCCACACCAUUACGGGAGCUAGAACCAUCUCUCAACUUUGAAGUCACCUCGAUCUCAUUCCCUGAAACCUCAGGCUGUGGAACUAGAGCUAGCUCUCUGGUGCUCUGCGAGCUUGAAUCCAGCAGGAGCGGAUCCUUCUCUCGCGAGUUGUUGAAGAACAGCACUCCGUCAUUAAACGGCCAUGGCAUCGGCCCAAACAGUGUGACCUUGGCCUCGGCGUACCGCCUUGAGUGCAGAUUCCCCUUGAGGUGGUCGAACAGCACAUUGUCGCUGAAGCACUCGGUGAGACAGAUGGUGCAGAAGAAGAUGACGCGCUUCCCGACGCGCCGGAGCUCCACAUAUGUGUGCCCAUUCUGCCGCACCUCCCGGAGAGUGGCCUUCGCAGCAAUCUCACGGAUGUCCACAGGGCCAUUCCUCUGGACCACCAAUUCCUUCCCCACCAUGGUGAAAUACUCGGAGCCACCAACCUUAAAUUUCCGCUUCUUUUGCUCACAAUUCCCUCAAAUUUCCCUCCAAAAACUACUUCCCUAACCUUCUCUUAUUGAAAUUAUAUGAAACUACAACCAAGACUAACACCUCUUCAGAUCUAUGCUUCCCUCCAAACCCUAAAAUUACAACUUAACAGCGAACUAACGGAGGUCGGAGCGGGCCUCGAUUACCCCACCCGUUUUUCCAGCUCUGUAUGCAUAGAUAGGAAGCCAAAUCGCACGAAAGCGGGCGGAAUUGAGCGCCCAUCCCAGAAACCGAAAUUUGAGUUCCCUGGCUCACAGCGAUGAAAGGGAAAUAUCAGCACGAACCUAGCUCGUCGAGUAAUCCAUCCAAUCAAGCAAGGUAGGCUCCCUUACGAACCAGAGCAGGAGCCACUUGAAGCCCGGAUGGAUCUGCGAGGGUUGGUGGUCACCAGCAAAGGGGAGGAGCGUAGCGACCGCGAGGGAUGAAGAACCGGACCGACGUGCUUCGGUGGAAGGAGGCGUGGGUGGGGGCGUGUUCCGCGGCGCGGUGAGGCAGCGGGGCCUUGGUCGCUGGUGGCGGGUGGCGGGAGCAGGUUCGCCGGCGAAGUGGUGGCUACCGGCGUCGGCGUGGGAAAUUUGGGAUGAGAAGGCGCAGGAGGACGACGAGAAUUCGAGAAGAGAAAGGAAGGCUGGUAGAAAGCGAAACGAGAGGUGUUCGGAAUAAAUAUGGUCACGGCGUGUUUCAGCAGACGGUUUUUUGAAUGGCUCGUGACUUACCGGAAGUGGGGUGAUAAAAAUGGUCGGAAGCCCGGAAAAGGCAACAAAAUUGUUGAUGGAGUUGUUUUAACUUUUAAGCAAACAUCCCUUUCUUUUUUUUGAGAAAUUUUAACAAACAUAGAAAAGAUAAAACUAUAAAAUAUUAUCAUUCACCUAGAUGUUUAUAUACGCAUAUGCAACUAUGCAUACACCCUACCUCUAUGAGCAUCGACGAGAUAUUGAAUUGACAAAUCUUGGUAUUAACAAUAUCACCGUAGCUGAUCAACAGAAAUAUAUACCACUAAAAAUAUUGUUAAUUUCUAAAAUAAAUUUAGAAAAAUACGAGCACCCAUAUUAAUUUGAUGAUUCUAACCCAAAUAGACGUGCUUGAUCGUAAAGAACCUUAUGAACUGAGCUGUGCUUUGAUUCACAAAUUUACUGUUUACAUUAAGAUGUAUUUUGGGAUAAUGAAACUUAAAACUAAUAAUGAAAAUAGGAGCACUCCCAAAGAAAUCUGUUCAAAACAUGAUUUCCUCGUUCAUUUCCCUACCCUAAUCGUCAAUGUUUUGUGAUAUCGGCAGUUCGGCACAUCGUCUUAUGAUUUCAUUGGAUCGUCCCAUACGUUGUUUUGUAAUAUUGGCAGACUAGUGUUGUACUGUUAAACACGGCUCUAUGUUGACCGGGACCGGGAUCAUAUACUUUCUUUCCUCUUAAGAUAUAUGCUCACACACGAUGGGAAAAAAAAAUCAAACUAUACAGAAACACAUGCAGCAGUUCUCAUGACCGCCUCCGGUGCCCAUUUCUAUCUGGGCAGAUAAAAAAAAAGGCAUGCAUCACACGCUUCGUCUCCACCAUCAUCAGAAAGGAAAGCGAAAGAAGAUAAAAACCAGCUCUUUUUACAUGUUCGCUCCGUUGAUUUUGCGUCAGGCUGAACAUUUCUUCUGCUUUUCGUGAGAAGGAAAAGAAGUUUCAACUUUCAACUCUACUAUGAUCUCUUCGGUGGCUACGGAUAUGCCACAUCUUAAUAUUCUGAUACUAAAUUCCGAAUUGACACUUGACCUGUGCACCAAUCAACAACGACGUGACACCCAACCUCAGUAACGUGGUGUGUUUUCCAAUUUAUCUAUUUUCUAAUAACAAAAACAAUGCUUUUGUGCCGGUCAACAUCAGGCAGCAGAAACUGAGAGCCAUGAGCCCAUGAGCAUCUUCAGAGUAUAAUCCUUUCUGAGGUGGCAAAGGUGCAAGGGCAUAUCCGGACCCAGCCAUGUACAUUCUUUCUGAGAUAACCGGAUAAAAUCCUUCAAAAGCAAUAGAAAAAUGAAGCUGCCAACAACCAGCACAUGAAUCAUCAACUGUCGGUGCCCUCGUUGAACAGCCGAACAAUCAUGCUUAUACAAAAUCGAACGCAGUGCUACUCCCAAAAGAGUUUCCCAGCGCCCAGGAAAGCGCCAAUCACAUGGUCCAUUUCAUAUGGCAUAUGAUCUCCAGCCUGGAGGAUCCGUCGCCGAAGAUAUUUCGUUAUCCCGCCACAACAGGCAAGCAAAAGUAGAUAACGCAA
RNAcentral lists this long non-coding RNA (6042 nucleotides) under Setaria viridis. RNAcentral describes it as "long non-coding RNA (SVIR_LNC010261)". Lineage: Eukaryota; Viridiplantae; Streptophyta; Magnoliopsida; Poales; Poaceae. The record is from RNAcentral.